CCAUAAAGAGUUGUCCUAUUAUUGUAGACAUGUCUAUGGACAUGUCUAACAGCAAUCCAAUGUGAUCUUUUUUCAGCGAACAUAUCCAAUGAAAGUCCAAAGGAUUAUCAUUGGACAUUCGUUUGGGAUAUGUCCAAUUACAGUCUUAUAUCUAGUCUAAUGAUUUUUCUUGGGACGUGUCCUUCACUUGUCCUAUAUGAGUCCAAUUUCCGUUUACAUUGAACGUUUCCAAUGCCAGUCCAAUGGAUUAUCAUUGGACAUUCGAUUGUGAUAUGUCUAACAGUAGUCUAAUGUUUAAUCCUACGAUUUAUGUUAGGACACCAUAAUCAAACGUCCUAUGCUACUCCAAGGUAAUUUCAUAGGACAUUCUAAUUGGACGUAUCUAAUGCCAGUCCAAUAGAUUACCAUUGGACAUUCGAUUGAGAUAUAUUCAACCAUAGUCUAAUGUUUAAUCCUACAGUUUACCUCAGGACACUUUAAUCAGACAUCCAAUGCUAGUCGAAGGAAAAUUUAUAGGACAUUCUAAUUGGACAUAUCCAAUGCCAGUCCAUUGGUUUAUUAUUGGACAUUUGUUUGAGAUAUGUCCAACGAUGGUCGAACGUUUAAUCUUACGAUUUAUCUUAGCACAUCUAAUUCAAACGUCCUAUGCUAGUCCAAAGGAAUUUCAGAGGAAAGUUUACGUUAGACGUAUCCAAUGCCAGUCCAUUAGUUCAUCAUUGAACAUUCGAUUGGGAUAUAUCCCACGAUUGUAUAAUAUCUUGUACUACGAUAUCUCUUAAGACGUCUAAUUCAGACGUCCAAAGCUAAUCCAAAGGAAUAUCAUAGGACGUUAAAAUUUCAUAUAUCUAAUGCCAGUCCAACUAUUUUCAUUGGACUUUCGACAUAUGCUUCCAUCGAUAUGUCUUACGUUUGUUCAAAUGUCUUUGUUCUGUGAAGAGUGCGUGUGUAGCAGCGUUGGAAAAUGGAAAAAUGGGAAAAAUAUCCGGAAAAAUAGCAAAGUAAGUACAUUAUACACUAAUUAGGAUAUAGUUAAACGAUGUGUAUAAGAAAUUAAGUUGCAAUUUAUAUAAUUGUACGCGAAAAUAGAAAUUUUCUUUUUUACAGGUUACGUGUUUCGACAAGUCCAGGUGAGAGAUUUUUUUCGAAUAAAAGCAGCUACAUGUUCCCGGCGUUCCCGGACAACUAUCUUACGGAUACUCCCACGUUACAAAAGCUCGCCAAAGAGAACUAUCAGCAUUUAUGACGAAGGGAAUGGAGAAAAGAAAAGACCGUGCCUUGGAAAACAGAAGUAGGAGAGCAUCCCGUGUCUUGGAAAACAGAAAUUGCAGAGCAUCCCGUGUCUUGGAAUACAGGAGUUGCAGAACAUCUCAAAGACCCAGGACGUCAGAGUUCAACCGCCGAAGGACAAAGUAUCAUACAUGUAAGAUUUAUAUAUAUAAUUUUUAAAUAAAAAAAUAAAAAAAUAAUUCAAAGCGUUUUUUAGUAAAAAAAAAAUAGAAAAAAAUUGGACAUAUCCUAAGCUAUUCGUAUGAAAUGUCCUACGACGCGUCCGCUAGAACUUUUCUAAAUACGGACCUGUCCUAUGCUAUUCGUAUGGACUGUCCAUUGAUGUAUCCACUGAAAAUUUUGCACACUGGAUAUGUCUUAUGCUCUUUGUAUAGACUGUCCCAUGGAUUGUCCUCUGAGGUGUCUGCUAGAUUUUUACUCUACACGGAUCUGUCCUAUGCUAUUCAUAUGGAUUGUCCACUGACUCGUCUUCUAAAAAUUUUCUAAACACUGGAUAUGUCCUAUGUUCUUUGUAUAGGCUGUCCAUGGACUGUCCCCUGACGUGUCCAAUAAAAAAUUUUGUAAACAUUGGACAAAUCCUAACCGGAAAUAAGUGACAAGUCCUAUGAUCUGUCCAAAAUCUGUCGUACGAAAGCAAGACUCGGAAGUCAUGAAAAUGUCUUUGAGGAUGUCUUAUUUUGUCGUAGGACAGAAUAUAAGAAAAAAACAAGAAAUUUCCAUGGGACACAUGGGACGAAUCCAUGGACAAUCCAUUGGAUUGUCCAUGGACACUCUU
Molecule: long non-coding RNA, 2062 nt
Organism: Lutzomyia longipalpis
Lineage: Eukaryota; Metazoa; Arthropoda; Insecta; Diptera; Psychodidae
Exons: 3
Source: RefSeq, a predicted model, not a curated record